RNAcentral lists this ribosomal RNA (2295 nucleotides) under Triticum aestivum (bread wheat). RNAcentral's name for it is "partial small subunit ribosomal RNA". Lineage: Eukaryota; Viridiplantae; Streptophyta; Magnoliopsida; Poales; Poaceae. The record is from RNAcentral.
AUGGCGCCGCAAGGUAGCAUCUCGGUAGCAGCUGCAGCGCUGGUCCUGUUACUAGCGUUGGCGUUGCAGAUCUCGGUCUCGUCACUGUCAGCAGCGGCUGUGGUGGUUCCUCCUCCGCCGCCGGACAACUGCACCCGCAGCUGUGGCAAGGUGGCCGUGCCCUACCCCUUCGGCAUCGGUCCCGGCUGCUACUGGCCGGGCUUCAACCUCACCUGCGUCGACAACACGCUACUGAUCGGCGACGGCACCCUCCGCGUCGACCACAUCUGGGCACACAAUUCCACGGUGCGCGUCCUACGCGGCGGCGACAUCAAAGUGGAGGAGGAGGCCAACGGCACCGGCGCCUUCGGCGGCGGGCUCAGGGACGACGGGCCCUUCACACUGUCCGCCUACACCAACGAGCUCGUGGUGACCGGCUGCAACGUGGUGGCGACGCUGGUGGAGCAGCACACGAACCUGACCCGGAGCGGCUGCGCCUCCAUCUGCACUAACUCCGCGGACAGCAUGCAGUAUCCCAUCAGCCACAAGGCGUGCAGCUUCGGCAAGGGCUGCUGCCAGGAGGAGAUAAUCUCGCCCUUCGAGCGCAUGAACUUCGACGCGCGGCUCAAAUGGUUCGGGCAGAACCGCACGGUGGACGAGAUGUGGAAGACGACGCGCGUGUUUGUGGCGGAGAAGGGGUGGUACGAUAAGCAGCGGCUGGUCCUGGAAGAAGCGACGGAGGUUCCGGUUCAACUGGACUGGGUGGUCGAGGUUGCCGGGGAGCCGGCGGGUCGUCGCCCCGUUCCCGGUGAUGACUGCCCCUCGUAUGUCAACCGCGACGUCUGCAAGAGCAGGAACAGCAACUGCAUGCCGGGACGAGAGAGAGGCUACUCUUGCUCCUGUUACACAGGUCACGACGGCAACCCCUACGUCGCCGGCGACGGUGGAUGCAACGAUGUGGACGAGUGCAAGCGGCCAGAAGAAUACGGCUGUUUCGGCGAGUGCACCAACCUGCCGGGAACGUUCCGCUGCUGGUGCCCUCGGGGAACUCAUGGCAACCACACUGUACCAGGUGGUUGCAUCAAGUCCGCCACAGGUGUAGUUUCAGGUGUUACCAUCGGAAUAGGAGUUGCUAGUGGCGUAGGAGCUAUUCUUUUGAUCCUCAUUGUAUUCGCCUUCACACAAAAGCUUAAGCACCAAAGAAAACAAAUGUUGAAGAAGAAGUUCUUUGAGCAGAAUCGUGGGCGACUAUUGCAACAAUUGGUAUCUCAAAGAGCUGAUAUUGCAGAAAGAAUGAUUAUAUCCUUGGAGGAGCUAGAGAAGGCAACAAACAAUUUUGACAAAACUCGCGAGCUUGGUGGUGGUGGACAUGGUACCGUCUACAAAGGGAUUUUAUCAGACCUCCAUGUUGUAGCUAUCAAGAAACCAAAGAUGGUGAUUCAGAAGGAGAUUGACGAGUUCAUCAAUGAGGUUGCUAUCCUAUCACAAAUAAACCAUAGAAAUGUUGUAAAACUUUAUGGUUGCUGCCUUGAAACAGAAGUACCAAUGUUGGUCUAUGAGUUCAUAUCCAAUGGAACUCUUUACAGUCAUUUGCACACACAUGAAGCAAAAUCAUUGUCAUGGGAUGAUAGGUUGCGAAUAGCAUCUGAGACAGCCAAGUCACUAGCCUAUCUACACAUGACAGUAUCAAUGCCUAUUAUACAUCGAGAUAUCAAGUCUGCUAACAUACUUCUGGAUGAUACUCUAGCAGCAAAGGUAGCAGAUUUUGGAGCAUCAAGAUAUGUUCCGGUGGAUAAAACAGGUGUAACAACCGUAGUACAAGGCACAAGAGGAUAUUUGGACCCUAUGUAUCUUAGCACAGGGAGGCUCACAGAGAAAAGUGAUGUUUACAGCUUUGGUGUCAUGCUUCUAGAGUUGUUAACUACAAAGAAGCCAUUCUCAUAUUUGUCUUCUGAAGGAGAUAGCCUUGUUGGACAUUUUACCACCUUGUUUGCAGAAGGCAAUUUGCCACAGAUACUAGAUCCUCAAGUCAUGGAUGGAGGAGGCCAAGAAGUAGAAGAAGUAGCUAAGCUUGCGUUAGCAUGCCUAAAAUUAACAGCAGAGGGUCGUCCAACAAUGAGACAUGUGGAAUUGACACUGGAAUGUAUUCAAGCAUCCAGGAGGAAUGUUUCAGAUAGUGGGUUGGCUGAGAUAUCUGAGGAGGAUGGUACUGCAAUGAGUGGCCCAAUUCCAGCAAGUUUUUCAAAUAUAAAAGAAUCAAGCAGACAAUAUAGCAUGGAAGAAGAGUUCUUGCUAUCCUCAAGAUAUCCUCGGUAG